Molecule: ribosomal RNA, 359 nt
Filed under: uncultured bacterium
Lineage: Bacteria
Description: partial 16S ribosomal RNA
Rfam family: Bacterial small subunit ribosomal RNA
Source: RNAcentral
CCUACGGGUGGCAGCAGUCGAGAAUCAUUCACAAUGGGGGAAACCUUGAUGGUGCGACGCCGCGUGGGGGAAUGAAGGUCUUCGGUUUGUAAAUCCCUGUCUUGUGGGAGCAAAUUUGAAAGAUAGUACCACAAGAGGAAGAGACGGCUAACUCUGUGCCAGCAGCCGCGGUAAUACAAAGGUCUCACGGGUUGUUCGGGAUCACUGGGGGGAAAGGGUGCGUGGGCUGUUUCGUAAAUCGUGUGGGAAAGGCGCGGGGUCAAACCGCGGACGGCGUAUGAUACUAGGAGAGUAGAGUAAUGUAGGGGGAAGCGGAAUUCCCGGUGAAGCAGUGAAAUGCGUAGAUAUAGGGAGGAACA